GCUUACUCUGACCCUGCUUCUAUCAAAGGUCAUGUUAAGGCUCUUCUCCAUUCGAGAGAUGAAGAGCGUUUGAGGGGCAUCAGAGUUGGGGGGCGAGUGAAUUAUGGUGUUUCUACGAUUUACCAAGCUAUUCAAGCAGUCCUCUACAACAAUUUCUCUUAAUCAUAAGAACAGGCUUUGAACAAGGAGCAGUCUAGACUUAGCAAGGAAGUGGAGAACUUGAAACUGGAAGGAGAGACUACCAAAUCAUCAUAUGACAAGCUCAAACUGGAUUAUUCCUCGUUGAACACUGAGUUGGAGCGUGUGCAUGCCAGACUCAAGGAGUAGGAGGCUAAUUAUGUCGCAUUGUACCAGGAGGUUGAUGAUAUUUCGCUCAAGACUGCCAUCAAGACAAGGGGGAGUUGAUGAUACAGUAUAAGAAAGGGCUCCAUCGUGGAUGGGAUGUCGAUGGUGCUAUUGCACUUCAUGAAGAAUAUUUAGCUCUUGAGCAAGAGAAUGAGAUGGAUGUUGACGCUCAUAUCUCUAUGUCUGGUGUGAGCGUCGAUGCUCAUACCUCUGUCCCUGGUAUGGGUGUCGAUGCUCAUACUUCUAUUUCUGGCGGGUGUGGCAUUGACGAUGUGAUGUUCUCCAUUGCUAAAUAUGGUACCAUUGCUCCAUAGUGCGUCUUUUUAAGUUUAUCCCUUUGGUUUACAAGUGACAAUUGAUUUAAACUCUUAAGUCUUUUUUGUUUAAAGCAUGAACAUCGCCAUAGUGGUAUUGAGUAUGUAUGCUUAACGAUCCUUUUGAUGUGCGGACAUCCUCUUAGCAAUUUCCCUUUUGAAUUUUAUGACGCUUUGAUGUAUGAACGUUGCCUUUGCGGUGGUAUGACUUAUUAUCUUAAUUUGGUAUUAAUAUUCUUCA
Long non-coding RNA from Cannabis sativa, 900 nucleotides. RefSeq lists it as uncharacterized. NCBI's taxonomy places the organism in Eukaryota, Viridiplantae, Streptophyta, Magnoliopsida, Rosales, Cannabaceae. The record is from RefSeq and is a predicted model, not a curated record. The transcript has 2 exons.